GGAAUAUUGCACAAUGGGGGAAACCCUGAUGCAGCGUCGCCGCGUGAGUGAAGAAGUAUUUCGGUAUGUAAAGCUCUAUCAGCAGGGAAGAAAAUGACGGUACCUGCACAAGAAGCCCCGGCUAACUACGUGCCAGCAGCCGCGGUAAUACGUAGGGGGCAAGCGUUAUCCGGAUUUACUGGGUGUAAAGGGAGCGCAGACGGUUUGGCAAGUCUGAUGUGAAAUGCGGGGGCUCAACUCUCGAACUGCAUUGGAAACUGUCAAACUAGAGUGCCGGAGGGGUAAGCGGAAUUCCUAGUGUAGCGGUGAAAUGCGUAGAUAUUAGGAGGAACACCAGUGGCGAAGGCGGCUUACUGGACGGUAACUGACGUUGAGGCUCGAAAGCGUGGGGAGCAAACA
Molecule: ribosomal RNA, 399 nt
Filed under: uncultured bacterium
Lineage: Bacteria
Description: bacterial SSU rRNA
Rfam family: Bacterial small subunit ribosomal RNA
Source: RNAcentral